GACGAACGCUGGCGGCGUGCCUAAUACAUGCAAGUAGAACGCACAGUUUAUACCGUAGCUUGCUACACCAUAAACUGUGAGUUGCGAACGGGUGAGUAACGCGUAGGUAACCUGCCUGGUAGCGGGGGAUAACUAUUGGAAACGAUAGCUAAUACCGCAUAAUAUUAAUUAUUGCAUGAUAAUUGAUUGAAAGAUGCAAUUGCAUCACUACCAGAUGGACCUGCGUUGUAUUAGCUAGUAGGUGAGGUAACGGCUCACCUAGGCGACGAGACAUAGCCGACCUGAGAGGGUGAGCGGCCACACUGGGACUGAGACACGGCCCAGACUCCUACGGGAGGCAGCAGUAGUGAAUCUGCGGCAAUGGACGAAAGUCUGACCGAGCAACGCCGCGUGAGUGAAGAAGGUCUUCGGAUCGUAAAGCUCGGUUGUAAGAGAAGAACGGGUGUGAGAGUGGAAAGUUCACACUGUGACGGUAACUUACCAGAAAGGGACGGCUAACUACGUG
RNAcentral lists this ribosomal RNA (505 nucleotides) under uncultured bacterium. Its description in RNAcentral is "partial 16S ribosomal RNA". It matches the Rfam family "Bacterial small subunit ribosomal RNA", at positions 28 to 507 of the family's 1533-position model. The record is from RNAcentral.